RNAcentral lists this unclassified non-coding RNA (525 nucleotides) under Hevea brasiliensis (rubber tree). The record is from RNAcentral. Lineage: Eukaryota; Viridiplantae; Streptophyta; Magnoliopsida; Malpighiales; Euphorbiaceae.
AAAAAUACAUAAACAUUAGCAUUAUGUUUCACUCUGUUAUUACUUUUUCCUCUAUUUUUCUUUCUUAUGUGAUUGGGGUGGCAAUGGCAGCCAUGUAAAGAAACUGCAUCCUAGAGAGAUAUGGAAUGGAAUCAUUUUUUCCCAGCAGAAAAUCAACUCAUGACAGACGAAUGAGGAAGUCGUUUGGUAGUCAGUCAGUCAUCCAGCGCGCUUGAAAUUAUCUCCAUAGUAAUAUGCUGAACCAACCAUCAGCGCGACUGUACCACCUUGAACAAGAACUCUAGCUCUCAUUAGUUGCUGACCUAAUUGAGAAUUUCCCCGCUUGAAACUAAUGAGUCCGGCAGUGAGCACUCCUGCAGUGAGAAAUGCACCGAUCGGAACAAGACGAUUCCGAUGACGCUUGUUAUCCUGAAAAAUUGAAUCCAAUUCUGAAUCAGUCGAUCCCAUAAUUUUCUCCGUUUUUGUUUUCGUUCUUCUUCUCUUCUCUUUGCGUAACUGUUUUUUCUUUUAUUUUUCAGUCGAAAU